UCGCCUGUUUAACAAAAACAUCGCCUCUUGAAUAACUAUAAGAGGUCCAGCCUGCCCAGUGACUUUGUUCAACGGCCGCGGUAUCCUAACCGUGCGAAGGUAGCGUAAUCACUUGUCUUUUAAAUGGGGACUUGUAUGAAUGGCAUCACGAGGGUUAUACUGUCUCCUUUUUCUAAUCAGUGAAACUAAUCUUCCCGUGAAGAAGCGGGAAUGAACAUAUAAGACGAGAAGACCCUAUGGAGCUUUAAACUUAAUAACAAAUACUAACCUUACAUCAACCUUCAGAAUAUUAACCUUAAUUUUAGUAUUAUGAUUAUUAGUUUUAGGUUGGGGUGACCGCGGAGUAAAAAUUAACCUCCACAUUGAACGGGACCUGUCCCUGAGCCAAGAACUACAGCUCGAAGCACCAACAAACUGACAUUAAUUGACCCAAUAUUUUGAUCAACGAACCAAGUUACCCUAGGGAUAACAGCGCAAUCCACUUCAAGAGCUCCUAUCGACAAGUGGGUUUACGACCUCGAUGUUGGAUCAGGGUAUCCCAGUGGUGCAGCCGCUACUAAAGGUUCGUUUGUUCAACGAUUAAAACCCU
Molecule: ribosomal RNA, 589 nt
Filed under: Osteocephalus taurinus (Manaus slender-legged treefrog)
Lineage: Eukaryota; Metazoa; Chordata; Amphibia; Anura; Hylidae
Description: partial large subunit ribosomal RNA
Rfam family: Bacterial large subunit ribosomal RNA
Source: RNAcentral